GACGCUAGCGGCAGGCUUAAUACAUGCAAGUCGAGGGGCAGCAGGAGUAGCAAUACUUGCUGGCGACCGGCAAACGGGUGCGGAACACGUACAGAACCUUCCUUCGAGCGGGGAAUAGCCCGGAGAAAUCCGGAUUAAUACCCCAUAGUAAAUUGGAGAGGCAUCUCUUUGGUUUUAAAGAUUUAUCACUUGAAGAUGGCUGUGCGCCUGAUUAGGUAGUUGGCGGGGUAACGGCCCACCAAGCCUUCGAUCAGUAACUGGCGUGAGAGCGCGACCAGUCACACGGGCACUGAGACACGGGCCCGACUCCUACGGGAGGCAGCAGUAAGGAAUAUUGGUCAAUGGACGCAAGUCUGAACCAGCCAUGCCGCGUGGAGGAUGAAGGCCCUCUGGGUUGUAAACUUCUUUUAUUUGGGACGAAAAAAGGGAAUUCUUUCCCGUCUGACGGUACCAGAUGAAUAAGCACCGGCUAACUCCGUGCCAGCAGCCGCGGUAAUACGGAGGGUGCAAGCGUUAUCCGGAUUUACUGGGUUUAAAGGGUGCGCAGGCGGAUAUGUAAGUCAGUGGUGAAAUCUCUAGGCUUAACCUGGAAAUUGCCGUUGAUACUAUAUAUCUUGAAUGCUGUGGAGGUAAGCGGAAUAUGUCAUGUAGCGGUGAAAUGCUUAGAUAUGACAUAGAACACCUA
Molecule: ribosomal RNA, 685 nt
Filed under: uncultured soil bacterium
Lineage: Bacteria
Description: bacterial SSU rRNA
Rfam family: Bacterial small subunit ribosomal RNA
Source: RNAcentral